Tigriopus californicus is the source of this 205-nucleotide long non-coding RNA. RefSeq lists it as uncharacterized. The transcript is spliced from 2 exons. NCBI's taxonomy places the organism in Eukaryota, Metazoa, Arthropoda, Copepoda, Harpacticoida, Harpacticidae. The record is from RefSeq and is a predicted model, not a curated record.
AUCAGCAAAAAGUUAUUCAGAAUCACCAACAAGACGGCCGUGAAGCCGUUUGGUUUUUGUCUAAUAAAAGCACCCCUCACACAACGUAAAGGGAGUUGUAGCAUGUAUUAGCUCCAGAAUUACCGCAUUUAUCCAAGUAACUGACACUAUCCAGUAUAUGAGGUGUGAUUUAAUGAGCCGUUCGCAGCUUCACCUUAAUUCGGCU